This 74-nucleotide transfer RNA is filed under the name Chloroflexota bacterium. RNAcentral describes it as "tRNA-Gly". It matches the Rfam family "tRNA". From Rfam's summary of the family: Transfer RNA (tRNA) molecules are approximately 80 nucleotides in length. Their secondary structure includes four short double-helical elements and three loops (D, anti-codon, and T loops). Further hydrogen bonds mediate the characteristic L-shaped molecular structure. tRNAs have two regions of fundamental functional importance: the anti-codon, which is responsible for specific mRNA codon recognition, and the 3' end, to which the tRNAs corresponding amino acid is attached (by aminoacyl-tRNA synthetases). tRNAs cope with the degeneracy of the genetic code in two manners: having more than one tRNA (with a specific anti-codon) for a particular amino acid; and 'wobble' base-pairing, i.e. permitting non-standard base-pairing at the 3rd anti-codon position. Lineage: Bacteria; Bacillati; Chloroflexota. The record is from RNAcentral.
GCGGGCGUAACUCAGGGGUAGAGUACUUGCUUCCCAAGCAAGAUGCCUCUGGUUCGAACUUCAUGGCGACUGCU